CCUACGGGUGGCAGCAGUGAGGAAUAUUGGUCAAUGGGCGCGAGCCUGAACCAGCCAAGUCGCGUGAGGGAAGACGGUCCUAUGGAUUGUAAACCUCUUUUGUCGGGGAGCAAAAGACGCCACGUGUGGCGUUCCGAGAGUACCCGAAGAAAAAGCAUCGGCUAACUCCGUGCCAGCAGCCGCGGUAAUACGGAGGAUGCGAGCGUUGUCCGGAUUUAUUGGGUUAAAAGGGUGCGCAGGCGGAAGAUCAAGUCAGCGGUAAAAUUGAGAGGCUCAACCUCUUCGAGCCGUUGAAACUGGUUGUCUUGAGUGAGCGAGAAGUAUGCGGAAUGCGUGGUGUAGCGGUGAAAUGCAUAGAUAUCACGCAGAACUCCGAUUGCGAAGGCAGCAUACCGGCGCUCAACUGACGCUCAUGCACGAAAGUGUGGGUAUCGAACAGGAUUAGAUACCCCGGUAGUC
RNAcentral lists this ribosomal RNA (459 nucleotides) under uncultured bacterium. RNAcentral's name for it is "partial 16S ribosomal RNA". It matches the Rfam family "Bacterial small subunit ribosomal RNA", at positions 338 to 795 of the family's 1533-position model. The record is from RNAcentral.